Molecule: small RNA, 483 nt
Filed under: Histoplasma capsulatum
Lineage: Eukaryota; Fungi; Ascomycota; Eurotiomycetes; Onygenales; Ajellomycetaceae
Also listed under: 1 other name
Description: hypothetical RNA
Source: RNAcentral
ACCUACCACUGCCAACCUAUCUACCACUGCCAAUCUACCUACCGCUGCCAACCUACCUACCACUGCUAAUCUAUCACUGCUAAUCUAUCGCUGCUAAUCUAUUGCUGCUAAUCUAUCGCUGCUAAUCUAUUGCUGCUAAUCUAUCUAUCACUGCUAAUCUAUCGCUGCCAAUCUACCUACCGCUGCCAACCUACCUACCGCUGCCAACCUACCUACCACUGCUAAUCUAUCACUGCUAAUCUAUCGCUGCCAAUCUAUAUAGGAUAAAUCAUGGUCCCAUUUGGUCCCAUUUUGUAAAAUGGGACCAAAUGAGACUGGGACCACUAAUUUAUUAGUAAAACAUGAUCUGGGACUAGAUUUAUAAUAUAAACAGUGUAAAGUGACUAAUUUACUAAACACUAUAUGGGACCAGGACUAAGAUAUCUAAUAAUGGGACUGAGGAAAAAUUUGGUCCCAGUCCCAUGCAUGGUCACACGGCCAGUC